RNAcentral lists this ribosomal RNA (515 nucleotides) under uncultured bacterium. RNAcentral's name for it is "partial 16S ribosomal RNA". It matches the Rfam family "Bacterial small subunit ribosomal RNA", at positions 28 to 523 of the family's 1533-position model. The record is from RNAcentral.
GAUGAACGCUGGCGGCGUGCCUAAUACAUGCAAGUCGAGCGAAUGGAUUGAGAGCUUGCUCUCAAGAAGUUAGCGGCGGACGGGUGAGUAACACGUGGGUAACCUGCCCAUAAGACUGGGAUAACUCCGGGAAACCGGGGCUAAUACCGGAUAAUAUUUUGAACUGCAUGGUUCGAAAUUGAAAGGCGGCUUCGGCUGUUCAUUAUGGAUGGACCCGCGUCGCAUUAGCUAGUAGGUGAGGUAACGGCUCACCAAGGCAACGAUGCGUAGCAGACCUGAGAGGGUGAUCGGCCACACUGGGACUGAGACACGGCCCAGACUCCUACGGGAGGCAGCAGUAGGGAAUCUUCCGCAAUGGACGAAAGUCUGACGGAGCAACGCCGCGUGAGUGAUGAAGGCUUUCGGGUCGUAAAACUCUGUUGUUAGGGAAGAACAAGUGCUAGUUGAAUAAGCUGGCACCUUGACAGUACCUAACCAGAAAGCCACGGCUAACUACGUGCCAGCAGCCGCAGUAA